AACUACCAAGAGUCUGGGAUAACCCCGGGAAACUGGGGAUAAUACCGGAUAGGUCAUUCGGGCUGGAAGGCUGUUUGGCUGAAACCUUUGGGGCUUUUGGAUGGGUCUGCGGCUGAUUAGGUUGUUGCCGGUGUAACGUACCGUCAAGCCUGUAAUCAGUACGGGUUGUGGGAGCAAGAGCCCGGAGAUGGAUUCUGAGACACGAAUCCAGGCCCUACGGGGCGCAGCAGGCGCGAAAACUUUACAAUGCAGGCAACUGCGAUAGGGGAACAUCGAGUGCUCAUCAUAUUGGUGGGCUGUCCAUCCGCCUAAAAAGCGGGUGUUAGCAAGGGCCGGGCAAGACCGGUGCCAGCCGCCGCGGUAAUACCGGCGGCUCGAGUGGUGGCCGAUAUUAUUGAGUCUAAAGGGUCCGUAGCCGGCUUUGCAAGUCUCUCGGGAAAUCCAACGGCUUAACCGUUGGUCGGUCGGGGGAUACUACGAUGCUUGGGACUGGGAGAGGUAGGAGGUACUCAGGGGGGAGGGGUGAAAUCCUGUAAUCCUCUGGGGACCACCGGUGGCGAAGGCGUCCUGCCAGAACAGGUCCGACGGUGAGGGACGAAAGCCAGGACCUCGAACCGGAUUAGAUACCCGGGUAGUCCUGGCCGUAAACGAUGCCCGCCAGGUGUUGCAACACUUGCAGGGGGCUGCAGUGCCGUAGGGAAGCCGUUAAGCGGGUCACUUGGGAAGUACGUCCGCAAG
RNAcentral lists this ribosomal RNA (738 nucleotides) under uncultured methanogen MRE04. Its description in RNAcentral is "SSU rRNA". It matches the Rfam family "Archaeal small subunit ribosomal RNA", at positions 106 to 847 of the family's 1478-position model. Lineage: Archaea; Methanobacteriati; Methanobacteriota. The record is from RNAcentral.